RNAcentral lists this long non-coding RNA (1778 nucleotides) under Volvox carteri. Its description in RNAcentral is "long non-coding RNA (VCAR_LNC002951)". Lineage: Eukaryota; Viridiplantae; Chlorophyta; Chlorophyceae; Chlamydomonadales; Volvocaceae. The record is from RNAcentral.
GAUGGACUUUUCUCUCGUUACAACCGCUGCGAACCAGCUGCGUACGCCUGACAGCAACAGCACCUCCAGCAAAGCAUGACAAGCCAUCAAAGCCGCCCUGCCAAAAAGGAGCCGCCGACGUUCGCCUGCAAUCGCUGCUGCGGCGGCGACCAAGCUAAAGCUCCACUCCAAGCUCCAGCAUAAGCCGCUUACUCAUCCUCCUCAGCAUCGUUAUCCGCAAUGUUGAAGUAUCGGAGCUCGUAGACGUUCCUGUCCUUGUUAGAGGCAAUAACGCGCAGCCAGUCACGCACGUUGUGCUUCUUGAGGUACUUCUUCGUGAGGUACUUAAGGUACCGCUUGCUGAGGUGCGUCUCCGCAGUGACGGUCACCUUGGUCUUCUCCUUAGCCACCUUAAUGGAGUCACCCAGCACACCGGUCUUGCCGUCCACCUUAAUCUUAUCGAGCAAAAAUUUCUCAAAAGAAGAAAUGUCCAUAAUCUUAUCCUCCACCGGCUUGGCGCAGUCGAUGGUGAAGACCAGGGCCUUCUUCUUCGCCGCGCCCUUGGCGGCCGGCUUCUUAACACCAACGGCCAUCUUUAAAAGCAGCGGCUACACGCGUGCACGGAAGAAAGAGUUACCUAGGUAGCAAACACAGCUUUUCUAUUCACAAAUGCCGUUCCCUGUACGGAGGCGCCUCCAUAACUGUUCCAGCACUCUCAAGCCCGACAGCAUUCCGCUACGGUAGAGAUUCGUUUACACAACGACAAUGACCACGAUGCUGCUCGAAACAUCUCCAACUUUCGUGCUGUAUAUGACAAGGUAUUCCUCCGCCGAGCACUCCGCGGAUCCAAACUUGCCCAGCAUAUAGGUAGAUGUUAUGCCCGUUUCGAAAAGAAUUAAUAAGGAUCCAGGAGACCGUGACCGCCGCAUUCGCCGCUCAAGUUAAGUCUGUCAGCUCGGAACCAUGAGCUCCGGUUUCCAUGGUACAUCGUUAGUUGCUAACGGGUUUCCUAUCUUUGCUGGACCCGGCCCGAGUGGCCUGCUGUUGUAAGGGCACCUGUGAGCACGGGGCAACAGUUGCGGGAGACCAGUGUUGCAAAGCUCGUGCCAGUUGUAGACAGGGCUCGGCUGAGGGGCAGGAACAGCCUGUUCCCUUGGGUUAGCUUGCAGGUUGCGGGCCAGGUCCGGUUUACCAGCCGGGUUCAUGUGUCGGGUUCAUGUUCAAUUGCCGUAUCCGGUUGUAAGUAAGCUCUUCUCGUGGUACAAUAGGCAACGAAGACAGGUGCAAUCUAACCAUGCUGCGAUGCAGUUGGCAUGGUGGUAUGAUUGCACUGCCCGUCCAAAUAUGGGAGGGGAAGUACCUAGAGGCGGUAGGCGUGCGGCUACCGCUGCGUCGGGAAGCUCGUUCUCCUCCUCCUCAACGUUCCCAUGAUAGUGCAGGUAUAGGAUGGUGUAAGCUGGGAUAGAGCUGCGGUUCGAUGGCUAUACUUCUGCUGUACAGCUACUGCAGCUCUUCGCAAGGUGCACCGUCUGCUCAAUCCUGGCACCAAGUGUUACACUCAGCAAAGCGCGGGGCCCCCUCGGGUCCUGCUACUUCUGUCACCAUUCACUGAUACAUGAGUGUCGGUCACUUCAUAACACCAAGAACUUGUGAAGCUUCUGAAGGAAAAAGGCAUGGCAUGCUGAAAAAGUCGAGCUUGCAGGAAAGGGCUUGGGGUUCUCUACCGGGUCCCAUAGAAGCCCUGGGGCCGUUGUUCCAUAACUGGAUGAAACGAAUUACACUUGGUGCUGCUGAACAAU